AAUGUUAUUUUCUCAUUUAUUUGGUGAAAAGUGUAAAUAACAAAAACCUCGCUUUUGAAGACGAGUUGCAGACAUUUUUUCGAAAGUGAAAUCCCUAAAUCAUGCUUUCUUCAAUCAACUCUAAAAUCCACCAUUUCCGCUUACGUCACUCUCUUCUUCUCUCACACCUCCAAUUUCUCCUUUAUUACCACACUGCCCCCCGCAGAAACCCUCCAAACGCCACGUCACCUCCAAUUCAAACCCAGUCAAAACCCGACCUUUUCACCGCUCCGGCUCCGGCUCCGACCCAUUUCAGCUGUUCGGAUUUUCAACCCGACACAGUUCUCGAAACCCUAAAUUGUUACGCCAACGACUGGAAGCUUGCGUUGGAGUUCUUCAAUUGGGCAGAAACUCAGACCGGGUAUCAACACACAACUCAAACACUGAACCGGAUAAUCGACAUUCUCGGUAAAUUUUUCGAAUUCGAUGCCGCCUGGAAAUUAAUCGAAAGAAUGAGUAAAAACCCAUGUUCUUCACCCGAUCACACAACUUUUCGGAUUUUAUUCAAGCGUUAUGUAUCGGCUCAUCUUGUUGAAGAAGCAAUCGAAAUUUUCGGUAAAUUAGACGAGUACAAUUUGCGUGACGAAACGUCUUUAUCGAACCUAAUCGACGCUCUGUGCGAGUACAAACACGUCGUCGAAGCCGAAGAGCUCUGCUUCAAGAGCAAAAACGGGGACAAUGUCGAUGGUAAUGUGUUCGGUUUUAGUGUCGAAAGUACGAAGAUUCACAACAUGAUUCUGCGCGGUUGGUUCAAGAUGAAGUGGUGGAGCAAGUGCCGGGAGUUUUGGGAGGCGAUGGACAAACGUGGCGUGACGAAGGACCUGUUCUCGUACUCGAUAUACAUGGACAUCCAAUGCAAGAGCGGGAAGCCGUGGAAGGCGGUGAAGCUCUACAAGGAGAUGAAGAAGAAAGGCGUUCGGUUGGAUGUCGUGGCGUACAACACGGUCAUCCGCGCGAUCGGGAUCUCCGAGGGCGCUGACGUGGCGGUCAGCCUCUACAAAGAGAUGAUCGAGCUGGGGUGCGAGCCGAACGUCGUCACGUUCAACACGAUCUUGAAGCUGCUGUGCCAGAACGGGAGGUAUCGGGAGGCACACCAACUGCUCGAUCUAAUGCCUAAGAAAGGCUGCGAGCCCGAUGUGAUAACUUACCACAGCUUCUUCACUUGCUUAGAGAAGCCGAAAGAGAUUCUGAAGAUGUUCAAUAGGAUGGUGGAAAGUGGGGUCCAACCGAGAAUGGACACGUAUGUAAUGCUUAUGAGGAAGUUCGGGAGAUGGGGUUUUCUUCGGCCGGUUAUUGAUGUGUGGAAAAAGAUGGAAGAACACGGGUUGAGCCCCGACGAGUCUGCAUAUAAUGCUUUGAUUGAUGCUUUGUUGCAAAAGGGUUUGGUCGAUAUUGCGAGAAGAUACGAUGAAGAAAUGUUAUCGAAAGGAAUUUCUGCUAAACCGAGAGCUGAGUUGCAGAAAAAAACGGAUGAUGAAGUAUCGCAAAAUGUGCACAGUUAUACAGGCGCACGCAGUCGAUGACGAUGAGACGAAAUUUAAUGACUCAUUACUUUGAGCAUUUCAUCCACAACCAUGCGCAGAUUGGUAAUGUCGGUGUGACAAACAGAACAGAAUGGGAAAAAUGGCUCGCCGAUUCAGCUGUGUGCCGUUUCUCGUUAAACGAAAAGGGCAAAAUGGUCAUCUCCUGCUAAUCAUCACCAUAACAAAGGUCUUGACUGGCUAUCCCAUCUUAUUGUAAUGGAUUACUUUGUCUUGGUGAAAGAUUGUGAUUGUACAAAUAGCU
Non-coding RNA from Erythranthe guttata (spotted monkey flower), 1824 nucleotides. The record is from RefSeq and is a predicted model, not a curated record. NCBI's taxonomy places the organism in Eukaryota, Viridiplantae, Streptophyta, Magnoliopsida, Lamiales, Phrymaceae.